Molecule: ribosomal RNA, 336 nt
Filed under: uncultured cyanobacterium
Lineage: Bacteria; Bacillati; Cyanobacteriota
Description: bacterial SSU rRNA
Rfam family: Bacterial small subunit ribosomal RNA
Source: RNAcentral
CCUUCGGAGCGCAGUGACAGGUGGUGCAUGGCUGUCGUCAGCUCGUGUCGUGAGAUGUUGGGUUAAGUCCGCAACGAGCGCAACCCACGUCUUUAGUUGCCAGCAUUUAGUUGGGCACUCUAGAGAGACCGCCGGUGAUAAACCGGAGGAAGGUGUGGAUGACGUCAAGUCAUCAUGCCCCUUACAUCCUGGGCUACACACGUACUACAAUGCUACGGACAAAGGGCAGCAAGUUCGCGAGGACAAGCAAAUCCCAUAAACCGUAGCUCAGUUCAGAUCGUAGGCUGCAACUCGCCUACGUGAAGGAGGAAUCGCUAGUAAUCGCAGGUCAGAUAC